UAAUUUUGUUAUUAUGAAUUAAUAGGUAUUGCAUACCAUUUAAAAAAAUUUUUAUAAUUAGAUAAAAAAUAAAAUUAAAAGGUAGAAAUUACAAUUUUUUUAUUGUUUCAUAAUAAAAAUUAUGUAAUUUAGAGUUGAAAUGUCGACUUUUAAGAUAUUUGUGUAUUGAUAGUAGGUUAUUAGAAAUUUGUAAAGUAAAGUAGUAAAAUUAUUAUAAAAAGUAAAAGUUGAAGUAUUUUUAUGUUUUAGUUUUAUAACUGUUUAUAAUUUUAGAUGUUGAAUAUCGUUAUAAUAAUUGGUUUUAAACUAUUAAAUUAAUAAUAGUUAAAUUAUUUUGAAAUAAGUAAAUUAAUUAAAAAAAGUUUAUUUUUAGAAUUUAAUAAAAUAACUAAAUAGUUAAUCAAAUGUUUAUUAAAGACUUAGGCUUUUAGGUAAAGUUUGCUUUUGCCCAGUGAAAAGUUUUUAAAUGGCAGUCUUAGCGUGAGGACAUUAAGGUAGCAAAAUAAUUUGUGCUUUUAUUGAGUUCCAGUAUGAAUGAAGUUAUUGGUUAAUUAUUUUUUUGUUUUAUGAUGAAUUUAAAUUAAUAUAAAAAAUUAUUAAUAUAAUAAUACAAAGAUAAGUCUUCGGAAAUUCUGUUUCAAUAUUAAUUUUUGUUAAUAUUAAUAAUUUUCUAGGGCAGAAUUUUAUAUAAUUUUUGAUUCUAUUUAUAAAUUUAAGAAUUACUCCGGAGUUAACAGAAAAUCAUACCUAAUCUAGUACUUAUAGUAAGGUAAGUUUUACAUCGAUGUUGUAUUUAAGUUUAUUAAAAAAGGAGAAAAUUUAAGUUUUAAGACUGUUCUUCUUUUAAUUAAUUUAACGUGAUAUUAGUUUAAUUCAUUGUGAGAUAGAAUUGUUUAUCUUGAUUAUUAUUAUAAAAAAGUUUUAAUAGUACGAAAGGAAAAUUAAAAAAAGUUUUAAACUUUUUAAUAAGAAAUAUAUUCUUU
This 983-nucleotide ribosomal RNA is filed under the name Poteriostomum imparidentatum. RNAcentral's name for it is "large subunit ribosomal RNA". Lineage: Eukaryota; Metazoa; Nematoda; Chromadorea; Rhabditida; Strongylidae. The record is from RNAcentral.